This 469-nucleotide ribosomal RNA is filed under the name uncultured soil bacterium. Its description in RNAcentral is "bacterial SSU rRNA". It matches the Rfam family "Bacterial small subunit ribosomal RNA", at positions 12 to 464 of the family's 1533-position model. The record is from RNAcentral.
UUUGAUCCUGGCUCAGAAUCAACGCUGGCGGCGUGCCUCAGACAUGCAAGUCGAACGCGAAAGAAACCUUCGGGUUUCAAGUAGAGUGGCGUCCGGGUGAGUAACACGUAGGUAAUCUACCUUCGGGUGGGGAAUAACGCAGGGAAACUUGCGCUAAUACCGCAUAAUGCAGCGGCACCACAUGGUGACAGUUGUUAAAGCGGGGGAUUUUCGAACCUCGCGCCUGAAGAGGAGCCUGCGGCAGAUUAGCUAGUUGGUAAGGUAACGGCUUACCAAGGCGACGAUCUGUAGCCGGCCUGAGAGGGCGGUCGGCCACACUGACACUGACAUACGGGUCAGACUCCUACGGGAGGCAGCAGUCGGGAAUUUUGGGCAAUGGGCGAAAGCCUGACCCAGCAACGCCGCGUGAAGGAUGAAAUCCCUCGGGAUGUAAACUUCGCAAGAAUAGGAAGAAUAGACGAGUACUAAU